ACAGCCCCUUCUCGGCUCCGCUUCGUUUGCAAAGGAUUCUACCCGCCGCUCGGUGGGAAUUGUACUUCAAGGCGGCCUGCGCGGCUCUUUCACCGCGAGGGCUUGGCCAACGGCACGUGCCUCCGGGGCCGAGAGGCCCCUACUGCAGGUCGGCAAUCGGACGGCGGGUGCACGCGUCGCGUCUAGCCCGGAUUCUGACUUAGAGGCGUUCAGUCAUAAUC
This is a long non-coding RNA of Populus euphratica (Euphrates poplar), 221 nucleotides long. RefSeq lists it as uncharacterized. NCBI's taxonomy places the organism in Eukaryota, Viridiplantae, Streptophyta, Magnoliopsida, Malpighiales, Salicaceae. The transcript is spliced from 3 exons. The record is from RefSeq and is a predicted model, not a curated record.